UUGAUGGUGCAACAACGAUGUAGGAGCUGCAACAUCAUUGGGUCUGAUCAUCGAAGAGGAGCUUCCAUUAACCGAAGGGGUUCAGGGAGGAGCAACCACCACCAUCAACGUUGAAGUAGCAGCUGCCAAGUGUGCAGCCAGAGAUGGAGAAGAAGAACGAAGAUGCACUUGCGUUUUCAGUUCUGUUCAACCGAUACCAGCAGCCGAUGCAAACCUAAUCGAGAAUUCCUUCUUUGAGGUGAGACAGAGACCAACCGAGUAGAAUGGGGAGCUGAAGCUUGCAUUUCCCUGAUCUAAUCCACCGAGACUAGCAGCCAAAGAUGGAGAAGAAGAAAGGCGAUGGUACCUGCGUUUUCUCUUCCCCUAAACCGAGACCAGCAGCCGAGAAUAGAAAGGGAGAUGGGUUAUUAAUCAUGAGGGUAAACUUGUCAUUUAAAAGAUUACAAACGUGACACAUCAUCACU
Macadamia integrifolia is the source of this 464-nucleotide long non-coding RNA. RefSeq lists it as uncharacterized. NCBI's taxonomy places the organism in Eukaryota, Viridiplantae, Streptophyta, Magnoliopsida, Proteales, Proteaceae. The record is from RefSeq and is a predicted model, not a curated record. The transcript has 2 exons.